Molecule: ribosomal RNA, 483 nt
Filed under: uncultured bacterium
Lineage: Bacteria
Description: partial 16S ribosomal RNA
Rfam family: Bacterial small subunit ribosomal RNA
Source: RNAcentral
UUGAACGCUGGCGGCAGGCCUAACACAUGCAAGUCGAGCGGAUGAAGGGAGCUUGCUCCUGGAUUCAGCGGCGGACGGGUGAGUAAUGCCUAGGAAUCUGCCUGGUAGUGGGGGAUAACGUCCGGAAACGGGCGCUAAUACCGCAUACGUCCUGAGGGAGAAAGUGGGGGAUCUUCGGACCUCACGCUAUCAGAUGAGCCUAGGUCGGAUUAGCUAGUUGGUGGGGUAAAGGCCUACCAAGGCGACGAUCCGUAACUGGUCUGAGAGGAUGAUCAGUCACACUGGAACUGAGACACGGUCCAGACUCCUACGGGAGGCAGCAGUGGGGAAUAUUGGACAAUGGGCGAAAGCCUGAUCCAGCCAUGCCGCGUGUGUGAAGAAGGUCUUCGGAUUGUAAAGCACUUUAGGUUGGGAGGAAGGGCAGUAAGUUAAUACCUUGCUGUUUUGACGUUACCAACAGAAUAAGCACCGGCUAACUUCGUG